UAGGGAAUCUUCGGCAAUGGACGGAAGUCUGACCGAGCAACGCCGCGUGAGUGAAGAAGGUUUUCGGAUCGUAAAGCUCUGUUGUUAGAGAAGAACGUUGGUGGAGUGGAAAAUCUACCAAGUGACGGUAACUAACCAGAAAGGGACGGCUAACUACGUGCCAGCAGCCGCGGUAAUACGUAGGUCCCGAGCGUUGUCCGGAUUUAUUGGGCGUAAAGCGAGCGCAGGCGGUUCUUUAAGUCUGAAGUUAAAGGCAGUGGCUUAACCAUUGUACGCUUUGGAAACUGGAGGACUUGAGUGCAGAAGGGGAGAGUGGAAUUCCAUGUGUAGCGGUGAAAUGCGUAGAUAUAUGGAGGAACACCGGUGGCGAAAGCGGCUCUCUGGUCUGUAACUGACGCUGAGGCUCGAAAGCGUGGGGAGCAAACAGG
RNAcentral lists this ribosomal RNA (428 nucleotides) under Bacillota bacterium. RNAcentral describes it as "Firmicutes bacterium partial 16S ribosomal RNA". It matches the Rfam family "Bacterial small subunit ribosomal RNA", at positions 355 to 776 of the family's 1533-position model. Lineage: Bacteria; Bacillati; Bacillota. The record is from RNAcentral.